UUUCUUCUUUGUAUACUAACAUCCCAGGCACUCUUAUUUUAUUAAAAAGCAAGAGAAGAAAAAAUUAGGAGAAAUGAAUAGGAUCUUUUUCUUCUUCUUCCUUUUGAUUUUGUGUUGAGCAAAGUGAAAUGGGAUCGCUUGAUUUGGCGACCCAGAAUGCGUUCUAAAGCAAUUUGGGACAAUUGUCUCACGCUUUGGAACGAGCAAUCUAGGUCGCGGAACCCAAAGGGGAUAGAAAAAUCUGGCAACUAUGAUUUCAAUAUUUGUGUGUUCAUGUACAUAUUUAUGUAGGCAUGGGGAUUACAUUCCAUAUGGAAAUGUUAAGUGUGACAAUGUACCAUAUUUUGGUUUUGAAUGUUCACAAACUCAAAAAAGUGGUCUAAUCUAUUUCAUAAUUUAGUCGCAUAAGUGCCUGUUAAUUUUUUCAGACCAUUUAAACCUAAUGUCAUAAAAAAAAAACCAUCAAGGCCCAAAGUUGGUGUUACUAUACCUUCGUUACAAUAAUUAUUAAAAAAAAUCUUAUAAAACUAUGCAACACAAUGAAGAAAACAAACACGUUCAUGUGUUGGAAACAAAUGAAAUGAACCAAAUUGCAAUAAACAAAAGGAGGCUCCAUUUCUAACAAAAAGAGGUUCCAUUUCUAACCAAAAAAGAAAAGGAAAAGGGAAAAAGCUUUGGAGCUUACCAGAUUCGCCAAUUCCCCUUGGGUUUCGUGAUCUGGGUUGUGUGUUCCAAUUUGUGGAAUGUUUAUGUACCAAAUUGCUUGGGUACGUGAUCCAGAUCGCUGGAUCAAGCCAACCCAUUUCAAUCACUCACCACAAAUCCAAAAUCUAAGGGAAGAAUAACAAUCACUCGCCACAAAUCCAAAAUCUAAACGAAGAAUAAGAAGAACAAAGAACAGAGGAGGAAGAAGAAGAAG
RNAcentral lists this unclassified non-coding RNA (919 nucleotides) under Hevea brasiliensis (rubber tree). The record is from RNAcentral. Lineage: Eukaryota; Viridiplantae; Streptophyta; Magnoliopsida; Malpighiales; Euphorbiaceae.